UACGGAGGGUACAAGCGUUGUUCGGAAUCACUGGGCUUAAAGGGCGUGUAGGCGGGGCGCAGGGUGUUGGGUGAAAUCCUCGGGCUCAACCCGAGAACUGCCCGGCAAACCGGCGCUCUUGAGGCGGGUAGAGGUGACUGGAACGAUGGGUGGAGCGGUGAAAUGCGUAGAUAUCCAUUGGAACGCCGGUGGCGAAAGCGGGUCACUGGGCCUGUCCUGACGCUGAUACGCGAAAGCGUGGGUAGCAAACAGG
This 253-nucleotide ribosomal RNA is filed under the name uncultured bacterium. Its description in RNAcentral is "partial 16S ribosomal RNA". It matches the Rfam family "Bacterial small subunit ribosomal RNA", at positions 524 to 776 of the family's 1533-position model. The record is from RNAcentral.